Molecule: long non-coding RNA, 238 nt
Organism: Arabidopsis thaliana (thale cress)
Lineage: Eukaryota; Viridiplantae; Streptophyta; Magnoliopsida; Brassicales; Brassicaceae
Product: other RNA
Exons: 1
Source: RefSeq
UGCAUUUUGCAACCGCCGAUGUGACAAAGUCGUCGGAGAAGAAGCGAUGGAGAAGACUUAGAUGUUACGGUUGCUGCCACGUGGUCUCACACUCAUGUCCACAAAUGUUGGACUAUAUUGGCUCACUUUUCAAUGGAGUCUUACUCAACAAGUAUCUCGAUUGUGUUAUAAACUGUACGGCCCAUGGUCUGUGAGGAUGAUAUUGAUGAAUAACGCAGGGAAUUGAUGAACAAUGUCA